Molecule: ribosomal RNA, 624 nt
Filed under: Klebsiella pneumoniae
Lineage: Bacteria; Pseudomonadati; Pseudomonadota; Gammaproteobacteria; Enterobacterales; Enterobacteriaceae
Description: bacterial SSU rRNA
Rfam family: Bacterial small subunit ribosomal RNA
Source: RNAcentral
AAAUUGAAGAGUUUGAUCAUGGCUCAGAUUGAACGCUGGCGGCAGGCCUAACACAUGCAAGUCGAGCGGUAGCACAGAGAGCUUGCUCUCGGGUGACGAGCGGCGGACGGGUGAGUAAUGUCUGGGAAACUGCCUGAUGGAGGGGGAUAACUACUGGAAACGGUAGCUAAUACCGCAUAACGUCGCAAGACCAAAGUGGGGGACCUUCGGGCCUCAUGCCAUCAGAUGUGCCCAGAUGGGAUUAGCUAGUAGGUGGGGUAACGGCUCACCUAGGCGACGAUCCCUAGCUGGUCUGAGAGGAUGACCAGCCACACUGGAACUGAGACACGGUCCAGACUCCUACGGGAGGCAGCAGUGGGGAAUAUUGCACAAUGGGCGCAAGCCUGAUGCAGCCAUGCCGCGUGUGUGAAGAAGGCCUUCGGGUUGUAAAGCACUUUCAGCGGGGAGGAAGGCGGUGAGGUUAAUAACCUCACCGAUUGACGUUACCCGCAGAAGAAGCACCGGCUAACUCCGUGCCAGCAGCCGCGGUAAUACGGAGGGUGCAAGCGUUAAUCGGAAUUACUGGGCGUAAAGCGCACGCAGGCGGUCUGUCAAGUCGGAUGUGAAAUCCCCGGGCUCAACCUG